RNAcentral lists this ribosomal RNA (474 nucleotides) under uncultured bacterium. RNAcentral describes it as "bacterial SSU rRNA". It matches the Rfam family "Bacterial small subunit ribosomal RNA", at positions 30 to 518 of the family's 1533-position model. The record is from RNAcentral.
AUUGAACGCUGGCGGCAUGCCUUACACAUGCAAGUCGAACGGUAACAGGGAGCUUGCUCCGCUGACGAGUGGCGAACGGGUGAGUAAUGUAUCGGAACGUACCAUUCAGUGGGGGAUAACGUAGCGAAAGUUACGCUAAUACCGCAUAUUCUGUGAGCAGGAAAGCAGGGGAUCGCAAGACCUUGCGCUGAUUGAGCGGCCGAUAUCAGAUUAGCUAGUUGGUGAGGUAAAGGCUCACCAAGGCGACGAUCUGUAGCGGGUCUGAGAGGAUGAUCCGCCACACUGGAACUGAGACACGGUCCAGACUCCUACGGGAGGCAGCAGUGGGGAAUUUUGGACAAUGGGGGCAACCCUGAUCCAGCCAUGCCGCGUGAGUGAAGAAGGCCUUCGGAUCGUAAAGCUCUGUUAUCAGGGAAGAAGAAAUAGACGGUACCUGAUGAGCAAGUCCCGGCUAACUACGUGCCAGCAGCCGAC